UUUUUUUAUUUCCCGGCUUAGUAUGAGAUAUAAAUAUACCUAUCGAAUCUUAGUAAUGAAUGACAGUGAAAGAAAUAAAGUUUU
RNAcentral lists this transfer RNA (84 nucleotides) under Kennedia prostrata (running-postman). Its description in RNAcentral is "tRNA-Tyr". Lineage: Eukaryota; Viridiplantae; Streptophyta; Magnoliopsida; Fabales; Fabaceae. The record is from RNAcentral.